RNAcentral lists this ribosomal RNA (253 nucleotides) under uncultured bacterium. RNAcentral's name for it is "partial 16S ribosomal RNA". It matches the Rfam family "Bacterial small subunit ribosomal RNA", at positions 524 to 776 of the family's 1533-position model. The record is from RNAcentral.
UACGUAGGUGACAAGCGUUGUCCGGAUUUACUGGGCGUAAAGAGCGCGCAGGCGGUCGUUCAAGUCGAGUGUGAAAGCCCCCGGCUCAACUGGGGAGGGGCACUCGAUACUGAUCGACUCGAAGGCAGGAGAGGGAAGUGGAAUUCCCGGUGUAGCGGUGAAAUGCGUAGAUAUUGGGAGGAACACCAGUGGCGAAGGCGGCUCACUGGACCGGUACUGACGCUGAUGCGCGAAAGCGUGGGGAGCAAACGGG